Cydia splendana is the source of this 525-nucleotide long non-coding RNA. RefSeq lists it as uncharacterized. The record is from RefSeq and is a predicted model, not a curated record. Lineage: Eukaryota; Metazoa; Arthropoda; Insecta; Lepidoptera; Tortricidae. The transcript is spliced from 3 exons.
UAACAUAUAUAACGGAGUCGGCGUCGACAGCGAGUCAUUCCCGCCGACGCCGUCGCCGCCAUGUCGCCGCUAGUCUGCUCGCUGCUCGCAUUCAUCGCGCUGUUCGUCGCCGACGCCGAGUCAAAACCGAACCGUUAUUGCAGUACCCUGAAUUUGGGCAUAAAAACAAAGGACUUUAUUGAUUUUACUCUGACUGUUGCCGGUGGCAUAGUCACCGUUCCUGACAAAAGUACUAGACCAGGAAGAAAUCUAGUGGGCGAAAUGGUCAGCGUGUGCAAUGCGCCCCACUCGAAGCCUAUAAUACUUCCACGACUUCAACGUAUAUCACCUCAUAAAUACAGACCAAACUUCGGUUUGUUUAGAAUCAUCUGUCGUAGCAACAUCCCCGGCUGUAAUAAACUUGACUUUCAUGUGAGGCAGUAUUGGAAAAUGGUCACUGCACCUAAUUAAAUAUUUGAGAGACAGACAAAAUUAUAGUGAUUACAAUUGGAUUAUUGUCUCGAUUAAAAAUGUAGAAUUACAUAA